UUUACUGCCCCGAGGGGGCAAAGGGUGAGGCUCACAGCUGUGCUCUUCUUUCAGGCGAAGUGGUGAACACCCAUGGCCCCGUGGAGCCUGACAAGGACAAUAUCCGCCAGGAGCCCUACACCCUGCCCCAGGGCUUCACCUGGGAUGCUUUGGACCUGGGCGAUCGUGGUGUGCUAAAAGAACUGUACACCCUCCUGAAUGAGAACUAUGUGGAAGAUGAUGACAACAUGUUCCGAUUUGAUUAUUCCCCAGAGUUUCUUUUGUGGGCUCUCCGGCCACCCGGCUGGCUCCCCCAGUGGCACUGUGGGGUUCGAGUGGUCUCAAGUCGGAAAUUGGUUGGGUUCAUUAGCGCCAUCCCAGCAAACAUCCAUAUCUAUGACACAGAGAAGAAGAUGGUAGAGAUCAACUUCCUGUGUGUCCACAAGAAGCUGCGUUCCAAGAGGGUGGCUCCAGUUCUGAUCCGAGAGAUCACCAGGCGGGUUCACCUGGAGGGCAUCUUCCAAGCAGUUUACACUGCCGGGGUGGUACUACCAAAGCCCGUUGGCACCUGCAGGUAUUGGCAUCGGUCCCUAAACCCACGGAAGC
This 585-nucleotide small RNA is filed under the name Pan troglodytes (chimpanzee). RNAcentral's name for it is "retained intron". Lineage: Eukaryota; Metazoa; Chordata; Mammalia; Primates; Hominidae. The record is from RNAcentral.